Molecule: long non-coding RNA, 1610 nt
Filed under: Androctonus crassicauda
Lineage: Eukaryota; Metazoa; Arthropoda; Arachnida; Scorpiones; Buthidae
Source: RNAcentral
UGAGAUAGAAAAAUACCUAUAUAUGAUAUAUAUAUAUAUACAUACACAACACAUACAUACAAUCCUCUUUUGGAAGUUUUUUCCAUGCUGUAAAAGAAUAUUACAAAUAUGGGAAUAAGGUUUCUUGUUUUCAGAACAUAUAUCUGUAUGGUUUUCUUAUUUGAAACUUUUUAUAUGAUGUAGUGAAUGUAUAUUGGGUUUUUUAAAAAGUUUUUUUAUUUCUAGAAUUUGUAAAAUGUUAGUCAUGUUUUAAGUGAUUAAUUCAUGUUACUUUCCAUUGUUAUUUUGUGAAAAGAACCAAUAUAUAUUCAAAGAUCAAGUAAGUCAUCUCAUUUUUGAUGACUAUGUAUAGAAAAGGGUCUUCCUGGCAGCUGCAGUCAAAUUAUAUCUGGAAAUGUAUGAUUAGAGAAAUGUGACAAGUGAAAUGUUCAACUUUUGCAUCAUAUCAAGGAUUCCUAUAAAAUAAAAAUUUUUUGUUGAGCACAAGAUAGUAAUUUUGUUUGGUAUGAAAAAUAAUUCUAUUAAUUUGUUACUAGUGGGUACAAAACAUGGCACUCUGCGGGAUUUUGUAUUCCAACAAAAAAUGAAGUAUUACAGUUUAAAAAUAACAUUAUUUCAUUUAUUAAAAUUUUUAAUUAUAGAAUUUCAUGAGAAAAUUUACCUUUUAAAACUUUUUAAAAUGUAAUUAAUUAGAUACUAUAUUUCUAGCCUAUCCUUUAUAGGCAUAUAUAUUGGUUCUUAUAAGAGAUUUUUAUAAAUUUAUGCUUCCUAUUUUGUUAAUACUAUUUAGUAUAUGAUAGUAUAACAAUUUCUAUUUGGGAUUCUUAUUAAUAGUAUAAUUUUUCCAUAAACUCUAUAUCUUUUUAACAUUUAUACUUCAUAAGUAGCAAAACAGGUAAUCUUUCACUUCCUUAAGAUUUCUUAAAUGAAAUCUUUUCCUCUUUAUCAGGUGCAAAAUAUUAUUGUAUUUAGGUUAUUAAAAAUCUAUUAAUAUUGUAAAAUAAAGUUAUCAGAAUAAAAUUCUCUACAUAUUGUACAGUGUUAUAACUUUACUGUAAACAAGUAAUCUUGUAAAUGUACAUGUGAUUAUUUGUAUUUUCAUUAUUUUGUUUUAAUUGGAAAAAUUGGAAGUUUUAUCUAUUUCCUGUAGAGUCCCAUGUGUUAAUACCUUGUGUGUACAUGGCAUAUUGCAUAUUGUGUAUGUUUUCAAAAAAUAAGAAUAAGAAAAAUUACAACAAAUAUAUAUAUAUAUACACAGAUAAUUUAAAAUCAGUAAAGCUUGAUGCAGGCUGCAAUUUCCUCCUCAUAACUUGUUUGGGCCAUUUCAGUGCAAAUGUUUGUCUGCAGCCAAAUGUUAUUAAAGGAAAAAAUUUAUAUGAAAGUUACUUAGUAAUGUGUUCCAUGGUUUUUUUAAUUGCAUGAUUUUGACAAUACUAUGUGAAUAAAAGAUCCGGAGUACUGUUAUAUGUAUGUGAAUAUUAAAUACACACAAAUUUAUAAUUAUAAAUUGUUAUUUAUUUUUGAUGAUAAUGACCUAGCAUUAUUUUUACAAAUAUAAACAAUUAAAAAUAUUGGUUCCACUUUUAGGUGUAUUCACAAUAUACGUGAAU